AGGACGAACGCUGGCGGCGUGCUUAACACAUGCAAGUCGAGCGGUAAGGCCCUUCGGGGUACACGAGCGGCGAACGGGUGAGUAACACGUGGGUAAUCUGCCCUGUACUUUGGGAUAAGCCCGGGAAACUGGGUCUAAUACCGGAUAUGACCUUGUCACGCAUGUGGUGGGGUGGAAAGUUCCGGCGGUACGGGAUGGGCCCGCGGCCUAUCAGCUUGUUGGUGGGGUAAUGGCCUACCAAGGCGACGACGGGUAGCCGGCCUGAGAGGGCGACCGGCCACACUGGGACUGAGACACGGCCCAGACUCCUACGGGAGGCAGCAGUGGGGAAUCUGCACAAUGGGCGAAAGCCUGAUGCAGCGACGCCGCGUGAGGGAUGACGGCCUUCGGGUUGUAAACCUCUUUCAGUAGGGACGAAGCGUAAGUGACGGUACCUGCAGAAGAAGCACCGGCUAACGUACGUGCCAGCAGCC
Molecule: ribosomal RNA, 473 nt
Filed under: uncultured bacterium
Lineage: Bacteria
Description: SSU rRNA
Rfam family: Bacterial small subunit ribosomal RNA
Source: RNAcentral